RNAcentral lists this ribosomal RNA (400 nucleotides) under uncultured bacterium. Its description in RNAcentral is "bacterial SSU rRNA". It matches the Rfam family "Bacterial small subunit ribosomal RNA", at positions 111 to 507 of the family's 1533-position model. The record is from RNAcentral.
CAGUACGGAACGUCGCCCAGUCGGUGGGGAACAACGCAGACGAAAGCUGUGCUAAUACCGCAUACGAUCUAUGGAUGAAAGCGGGGAACCGUAAGGCCUCGCGCGAUUGGAGCGGCCGAUGUCAGAUUAGGUAGUUGGUGGGGUAAAGGCUCACCAAGCCAACGAUCUGUAGCUGGUCUGAGAGGAUGAUCCGCCACACUGGAACUGAAACACGGUCCAGACUCCUACGGGAGGCAGCAGUGGGGAAUUUUGGACAAUGGGCGCAAGCCUGAUCCAGCCAUGCCGCGUGAGUGAAGAAGGCCUUCGGGUUGUAAAGCUCUUUCGGCCGGGAAGAAAUCGCACAGGUUAAUACCCUGUGUGGAUGACGGUACCGGAAUAAGAAGCACCGGCUAACUCCGUG